UACGUAGGUGGCAAGCGUUGUCCGGAAUUAUUGGGCGUAAAGCGCGCGCAGGCGGCCUCUUAAGUCUGAUGUGAAAGCCCCCGGCUCAACCGGGGAGGGCCAUUGGAAACUGGGAGGCUUGAGUAUAGGAGAGAAGAGUGGAAUUCCACGUGUAGCGGUGAAAUGCGUAGAGAUGUGGAGGAACACCAGUGGCGAAGGCGACUCUUUGGCCUAUAACUGACGCUGAGGCGCGAAAGCGUGGGGAGCACACAGG
This 253-nucleotide ribosomal RNA is filed under the name uncultured bacterium. RNAcentral's name for it is "partial 16S ribosomal RNA". It matches the Rfam family "Bacterial small subunit ribosomal RNA", at positions 524 to 776 of the family's 1533-position model. The record is from RNAcentral.